Saccostrea cuccullata (small rock oyster) is the source of this 1139-nucleotide long non-coding RNA. RefSeq lists it as uncharacterized. Lineage: Eukaryota; Metazoa; Mollusca; Bivalvia; Ostreida; Ostreidae. The record is from RefSeq and is a predicted model, not a curated record. The transcript is spliced from 2 exons.
GCAGUUUCCGUUCAUUUUCUUUGGAGAGGUUGCACAUAUUGAAAUGGAAUUUGGUAUACAGAUUAGUCAGGUGAAUAUCUAGUUAUGCCCUUUUGGACUUAGAAAAAUUCCAAUUUGUGGGGGAGGGAGGCAUAAGUGUUUUACAAACAUCUCUUGUUUAUAAAUAUGUUUUAAUUAGCCUGAAAGAUACUGAAGGACAGUUUAUUAUAGUGUAAUUCAUAUAACUUUCAGUGUCAAAAUGUCUUAAGUUUAAUGCUAAAUGUUGGGAUGAUAUUAUUGUAAUUGACCUCAGAUACUGAUUUCAUUAUUUCCCAACUGCUCUAGUCUUGGAAUCAAUGUGUACACCAAAACUUCACUGUUAUAUCAUGAUCAUCAUUUGUCAUAUCGUUUACAUGUAUGUCAGUGGCCAAACCACAGUGCCAUGAUAUUUCCUAUGGUUGGAUUAUUGCCAGUGCAUAACUUGAAACCAAAUAAACAAAUAACUUCUUUUCAAUUGUAAUUACAAUGUUUGUUAAAUUGUUAUAGAGAGAAAAAAGACAGAAAAGGUCACAAUUCCCUAAUAAAGAUAAAAUCUUUAAAAAAAAGAAAAAACAUGUACAUGUGUAGUUUCAUUUUUUUUCUUUGUUAAUCAAAUAUUUAUUUCAAAGUCACAUAUAUAGAAAUGUAAUUUUGAGUGAAUAAUCUUUGUCAAUAAGAGGAAAAUUUGGCUGUUUUUUACAUUUACAGUUUUUAUUCCUGUUUUCAUUGAUUUGAGUACAUUUCUGUUUAGAGUAUACAUUAUUGUGCAAUAAUAUAGACAUGUGAGUUGUACAUUUUAAAUAUUCUAGAUUAGUAUUAAUAGAUACUUAAUAUAUGUUUGUUCUAACUAAAUGAAUUUGUGCAAGGGGAACACAGAUUGAUAUGAAACCAGACAAGAAAUAUCUUGAUGACUAUUUCAACAUGUUUACUUGUAACACCUAUGUUUAUUUUUGUAUGGAAAAGUUUAAAGAAUUAGAUGGCAAGAUACAUUUGGAUAGUCAGUUAAUUUACUCAGACUUUUAAUGGCAUCUCUUUCAUUCACAUUCAUUGUUCUUUGUUCAUGGAUUGCAUAUCAUGAAUGGUGUACCUUGUUCUGAUGAAAUAAAGCUUACGAUCUCUGA